UCAACCUUCCCUACAGUGGGGGAUAACUAGCCGAAAGGUUAGCUAAUACCGCAGUGAGAUCUUCGAGUGGCAUCAUUUGAAGAUGAAAGGAGCAAUCCGCUGAAGGACGGGACCGCGUCCCAUUAGCUAGAUGGUGGGGUAAUGGCCUACCAUGGCAACGAUGGGUAGCUGGUUUGAGAGAGCGACCAGCCACACUGGGACUGAGACACGGCCCAG
RNAcentral lists this ribosomal RNA (216 nucleotides) under uncultured bacterium. Its description in RNAcentral is "partial 16S ribosomal RNA". It matches the Rfam family "Bacterial small subunit ribosomal RNA", at positions 121 to 334 of the family's 1533-position model. The record is from RNAcentral.